This is a non-coding RNA of Coccinella septempunctata (seven-spotted ladybird), 75 nucleotides long. The record is from the annotation of a RefSeq genome assembly. Lineage: Eukaryota; Metazoa; Arthropoda; Insecta; Coleoptera; Coccinellidae.
CCUCUGGUAGCUCAGUUGGGAAAAGCACUUGACCGGCAAUCAAGAGGGGCGCGGGUUCGAAUCCUGCCCGGAGAU